This 112-nucleotide ribosomal RNA is filed under the name Klebsiella quasipneumoniae. RNAcentral describes it as "partial 23S ribosomal RNA". The stretch from base 1 to 100 matches the Rfam family "Bacterial large subunit ribosomal RNA", at positions 2826 to 2925 of the family's 2925-position model. The record is from RNAcentral. Lineage: Bacteria; Pseudomonadati; Pseudomonadota; Gammaproteobacteria; Enterobacterales; Enterobacteriaceae.
CCUGAAGGAACGUUGAAGACGACGACUUUGAUAGGCCGGGUGUGUAAGCGCAGCGAUGCGUUGAGCUAACCGGUACUAAUGAACCGUGAGGCUUAACCUUACAACGCCGAAG